CACACAAGGCCUCAUUCUAAUCCUGCAGCUUGUCUGUUUAGUGUCUUUGGAGAGGGAAAAGGAGCAGAAAAGUAGCUUGUCUUUUAUUUUUAUUUGCCUUCUUUUUUUCCCUUCCUCCAGAUAUCCCCCUGGGGCACCGGCCUAGAACAGAGCAACAAAUAUUUACUAAUUCCAUUAACAGAAGAGAGUUGGAAUUUUUUUUUUCCCAAGCGAAUAUCCGAGGCCCCAAGUUCAUGGUGAGCCCUCUCCCCCGCGUGGCCCCCUGUCCCCCCUCCUCCUUACACGCCCAGGACUUAUAUAUAGUUCACUCAGUGCCAUUUCCCCAAUUUUUUCUGAAGUUCAAGACAAGUUGAAGGGUCAAAAAGGCAAAGGGUGUUUUAGAAGUUUAGCAGACAGCUUUUGGUACAAGGAAAAGAGAGGGAGAGUCAGAGAGAGGGAAACAGGGUGAAGAGGCAGGAAUCUGGCUCGCAUUAAGCUGGGAAGUUCCAACCAUUGAUUCGCUCUGGAAUUAUGGCUUUUAAAAAACUGCAAAACAUGGUUUAUUCAUGAGGCUUCUUUUUUUUUUUUCUUAAGUAGUGACCCAAAGUUACACUUUGGUUCCCCAAGACGAAGACUCGUCCUUCCUCUCUCUAUGGAUCUUUCAGCACGAAAACAGGCUGGUACAGUACCCUUAUAAGAAGAGAAAGGGACCAGAACUCUCCCUCCAUCAUGUGAAGAUACAGCAAGAAGUCAACUAUUCACGAGUCCCUUCCCUGAACCUAACCACGCUGGCACCAUGAUUUUGGAAAUCCUGAUUCCGAUGGAGUCUCACUCUGCUGCCCAGAUUGGAGUGCAG
This is a non-coding RNA of Chlorocebus sabaeus (green monkey), 835 nucleotides long. The record is from RefSeq and is a predicted model, not a curated record. Lineage: Eukaryota; Metazoa; Chordata; Mammalia; Primates; Cercopithecidae.